Molecule: long non-coding RNA, 568 nt
Organism: Homo sapiens (human)
Lineage: Eukaryota; Metazoa; Chordata; Mammalia; Primates; Hominidae
Product: long intergenic non-protein coding RNA 1517
Source: Ensembl
AUCAUUUUUUCCUCAUCAAUUUCUGGGACAGUUCCUGUAUAGACAGGAUUUCCACAUGUCGCCCAGGCUGAUCUCAGACUCCUGACCUGGAUCUUCCCACCUCAGCCACUGAACGUGCUGGGAUUACAGUUGAAGGUCUGGAAUGGAAACUCCUAUUGUGAUCUUAAGGGCUGUAACCCAGAGAAUCUGGUUCUUCCUGGAGUAUUUCAGCAGGGAUCAGCCUGUUUCCUCUGAUCAGCUUAAAUAGGUCUACUUGAAGUUCACAACUGCCAAAACCGCGUGUUCAGACUGAAAGGCUGGGAGCAUUUCAGACGCAUUUAUGAACUUCCACCAAGAUGAUCCGGCAGGCUGAAAUCGCAGGGAGAGCGUCUGUUCAACAAACCCUUUCUUCUUGAUUGAAUUAGUGUUACCCACUAACAGGAUGAGGAAUUCCCACUCCACAAGCUGACUUUUUUUCCUCUUUCCACCUCCCGCCUCCCUCCAUUAAAAUGUAAACUUGAUUCCUGUGUCCUUUGCCGGAGCCUGGCUUCCCUGUAAGCCCAUCAUAAACAUCUUGGUAGAAAUGCAA